AGUGAACGCUGGCGGUAGGCCUAACACAUGCAAGUCGAACGGCAGCACAGUAAGAGCUUGCUCUUACGGGUGGCGAGUGGCGGACGGGUGAGGAAUACAUCGGAAUCUACUUUUUCGUGGGGGAUAACGUAGGGAAACUUACGCUAAUACCGCAUACGACCUACGGGUGAAAGCAGGGGAUCUUCGGACCUUGCGCGAUUGAAUGAGCCGAUGUCGGAUUAGCUAGUUGGCGGGGUAAAGGCCCACCAAGGCGACGAUCCGUAGCUGGUCUGAGAGGAUGAUCAGCCACACUGGAACUGAGACACGGCCCAGACUCCUACGGGAGGCAACAGUGGGGAAUAUUGGACAAUGGGCGCAAGCCUGAUCCAGCCAUACCGCGUGGGUGAAGAAGGCCUUCGGGUUGUAAAGCCCUUUUGUUGGGAAAGAAAAGCAGCAGGUUAAUACCCCGCUGUUCUGACGGUACCCAAAGAAUAAGCACCGGCUAACUUCGUG
RNAcentral lists this ribosomal RNA (492 nucleotides) under uncultured bacterium. Its description in RNAcentral is "partial 16S ribosomal RNA". It matches the Rfam family "Bacterial small subunit ribosomal RNA", at positions 29 to 507 of the family's 1533-position model. The record is from RNAcentral.